AACCUGCCCAAGAGAUCGGGAUAACACCUGGAAACAGAUGCUAAUACCGGAUAACAANAGAUGAUGCCUAUCAACUGUUUAAAAGAUGGUUCUGCUAUCACUCUUGGAUGGACCUGCGGUGCAUUAGCUAGUUGGUAGGGUAACGGCCUACCAAGGCGAUGAUGCAUAGCCGAGUUGAGAGACUGAUCGGCCACAUUGGGACUGAGACACGGCCCAAACUCCUACGGGAGGCAGCAGC
This 238-nucleotide ribosomal RNA is filed under the name uncultured Lactobacillus sp. Its description in RNAcentral is "partial 16S ribosomal RNA". It matches the Rfam family "Bacterial small subunit ribosomal RNA", at positions 123 to 355 of the family's 1533-position model. The record is from RNAcentral. Lineage: Bacteria; Bacillati; Bacillota; Bacilli; Lactobacillales; Lactobacillaceae.